CCUUAGAGUUUGAUCCUGGCUCAGGAUGAACGCUAGCUACAGGCUUAACACAUGCAAGUCGAGGGGCAGCAUGGUCUUAGCUUGCUAAGGCCGAUGGCGACCGGCGCACGGGUGAGUAACACGUAUCCAACCUGCCGUCUACUCUUGGACAGCCUUCUGAAAGGAAGAUUAAUACAAGAUGGCAUCAUGAGUCCGCAUGUUCACAUGAUUAAAGGUAUUCCAGUAGACGAUGGGGAUGCGUUCCAUUAGAUAGUAGGCGGGGUAACGGCCCACCUAGUCUUCGAUGGAUAGGGGUUCUGAGAGGAAGGUCCCCCACAUUGGAACUGAGACACGGUCCAAACUCCUACGGGAGGCAGCAGUGAGGAAUAUUGGUCAAUGGGCGAGAGCCUGAACCAGCCAAGUAGCGUGAAGGAUGACUGCCCUAUGGGUUGUAAACUUCUUUUAUAAAGGAAUAAAGUCGGGUAUGGAUACCCGUUUGCAUGUACUUUAUGAAUAAGGAUCGGCUAACUCCGUGCCAGCAGCCGCGGUAAUACGGAGGAUCCGGGCGUUAUCCGGAUUUAUUGGGUUUAAAGGGAGCGUAGAUGGAUGUUUAAGUCAGUUGUGAAAGUUUGCGGCUCAACCGUAAAAUUGCAGUUGAUACUGGAUAUCUUGAGUGCAGUUGAGGCAGGCGGAAUUCGUGGUGUAGCGGUGAAAUGCUUAGAUAUCACGAAGAACUCCGAUUGCGAAGGCAGCCUGCUAAGCUGCAACUGACAUUGAGGCUCGAAAGUGUGGGUAUCAAACAGGAUUAGAUACCCUGGUAGUCCACACGGUAAACGAUGAAUACUCGCUGUUUGCGAUAUACUGCAAGCGGCCAAGCGAAAGCGUUAAGUAUUCCACCUGGGGAGUACGCCGGCAACGGUGAAACUCAAAGGAAUUGACGGGGGCCCGCACAAGCGGAGGAACAUGUGGUUUAAUUCGACGCAACGCGAAGAACCUUACCAAGUCUUGACAUCCCUUGACGAUGCCGGAAACAGUAUUUCUCUUCGGAGCAAGGAGACAGGCGGUGCAUGGUUGUCGUCAGCUCGUGUCGUGAGAUGUUGGGUUAAGUCCCGCAACGAGCGCAACCCUUAUGGUCAGUUACUACGCAAGAGGACUCUGGCCAGACUGCCGUUGACAAAACGGAGGAAGGUGGGGAUGACGUCAAAUCAUCAUGCCCUUUAUGACUUGGGCUACACACGUACUACAAUGGCGUUAAACAAAGAGAAGCAAGACCGCGAGGUGGAGCAAAACUCAGAAACAACGUCCCAGUUCGGACUGCAGGCUGCAACUCGCCUGCACGAAGUCGGAAUUGCUAGUAAUCGUGGAUCAGCAUGCCACGGUGAAUACGUUCCCGGGCCUUGCACUCACCGCCCGUCAAG
Molecule: ribosomal RNA, 1397 nt
Filed under: uncultured bacterium
Lineage: Bacteria
Description: partial 16S ribosomal RNA
Rfam family: Bacterial small subunit ribosomal RNA
Source: RNAcentral